UAAUAAUUACAAAAAAAAAAAAAAAAAAAACUUCCAAUUACCAAGUGAAUUACAAGACAGAUAUUCAACAACGAUUGACCAUCAGAUGACAUUUGUGUUUCUGUAAAAAAUGGCUGGAGGCUUGGACCCAACUGGACUCUACUGAGGCAACCAACCAAUUAAUAAAAAAAUUCAAGAGAAAAAAAAA
Long non-coding RNA from Aphidius gifuensis, 187 nucleotides. RefSeq lists it as uncharacterized. NCBI's taxonomy places the organism in Eukaryota, Metazoa, Arthropoda, Insecta, Hymenoptera, Braconidae. The record is from RefSeq and is a predicted model, not a curated record. The transcript is spliced from 2 exons.